Molecule: long non-coding RNA, 626 nt
Filed under: Mus pahari (shrew mouse)
Lineage: Eukaryota; Metazoa; Chordata; Mammalia; Rodentia; Muridae
Description: RIKEN cDNA 8430423G03 gene (MGP_PahariEiJ_G0005395.1)
Source: RNAcentral
GAUAGACCACACAUUCCACAGCCACGACGUUUAUUUCCUCUCGGUUACAUGCUGCCCUGGGGGACGACCAGUUACAUUUUUCUGACCAUAAAGAAGAGGGGAGCCACGGGGCAUCCAUCCCCCAGCUGUCACGACUCCGAAAAGGGAGUUCUCUUUCCUUAUGUCCUCUUACUGUGUGGAUUGAGGAUGAAACAGAGCAACCGCCCGAUGGCCAGGAGGCGAAAAGACCGUCAAUAAAAAGCUUCGCGAUGAAGACCACGCCAAAGAAGAAGGCGCCUUCCAAGAUCACUGGGGUCUCCAGGGCCUAGCCUUAGUUGAAACAGUCCGACGACCACCAUGAACCUGGGAAGCCCCCUGGGGAAGGUGACCCCCAUCUCCGGACUGAGGCCUGCAGGGCUCCUCAGGACAGCCACUAGCAGCACCAUGGGGAAAACAUAGAGGUGACGCCCAGAAAGACAGAAUUCUGAGACAGGCGAAGGGACAAACGGAUUCAUGUGAAUUUUUUUUUUUUUUGAUUCUCCAAACCACCUAGUGUCUACCACAGCCACCCACAACUGCCAUUGGAGUGGGAAGGCAGCCACAAAUAGUAUCAACUGGGACAGAAAUAAAUGAACAGCAGGACUGGU